Molecule: long non-coding RNA, 2234 nt
Filed under: Limulus polyphemus (Atlantic horseshoe crab)
Lineage: Eukaryota; Metazoa; Arthropoda; Merostomata; Xiphosura; Limulidae
Description: uncharacterized LOC106460196
Source: RNAcentral
CUUGACUGCUGUGGUGUGUUCAACUAUACUGACUGGUUUGACACUGCCUGGUCUGGCAAGAUAGAAGCUGUUCCACCUAGUUGUUGUAAAACUUUGAAGAGUUGUAACAACAAUCCUUUGACAAAUGUCACACACAUCUUCCAUCAGGGAUGCUAUGCUAAAGUUACAAAAUUUGUGAAUGAAAAUUUGACAGCUAUUGGAGGUGGGGCUGUAGCAAUUGCAUGUUUCCAGCUUCUAGGAGUGCUUUUUGCAUGUUGUCUUGCAAAAAAUGUCAAUAAGGCAAAAUAUGAACCUGUAGCUUAAAGAAUGGUUGGCUUCUUUUCUUAAGGUACCAUCCCUCAGAAAUUUAUGAAACUUAAACCUCGCAAGAUGUAUUUUCUCUUUUGUCCUUUCAGAAGCUGGUUAAAAAGCUUAUGAGCUCAAACCUUUCAACAUUUUGAAAUUAAAUGAUCUGUUUUUUUCUGUAUAUAUUGUUCUUGUACAUUUAUCUUUCAGCUUGUUGCGGGUUUUACCCUCACAAAUGAAUUAACCAAGUUAAAAAAUUUCAAGGUCAAUUAGCAUCUGUUAACUGUCAGAUUAUGUGAAACUGCAGAUUUUUAUGCUUAAUUUAUGUUUUAUAUUUUUUGUACCAAAACUGGUCAUUCCCAAGUUGAUCUGAUUGCAAAUAUUUUAUACAUUGCUUUAAUUUUUUAUAUUACUUUCUAGCUUGUUAUGGUAUUAAAAUAUAAGAAUCUGAAAAAGAGUUUUUAUAUUAUGUCAUAUUGCAUUUUGUUAAUAUGUGAAGUGCAUUAUAGGUGUCUACUGUCAAUUGUAUUGCUGAUGUAUGCAUACAUAGAUGUUCUAUUCAGUGUACAUCCUUUCUUUUUUAGAUUUAAAUAUAUAUGCCAACUGUAAGUAUAUUACACAGUUCACCUUAAGUCAAAAUACUGUUGGUAAAUUUAUUACCAAUUAUAUAAAUAAUAUUUAAAUAUUUAGCAAAAGCUAUUUCAAAAAUUGUUUCAUUUUGUACAAAAAAAAAUCUGGACUUUCUUAUAACUUUAGAUAAAUUAUUUUUUGAUGAGAAAAUCUACUGAAAAUGCAGUGUUAUAACUGGAAAUUUUGUUGUAUAAAUAUCUUUAAUUUCUUUGAGUGUCACAAUUUAUAUAUACACUAAAUAUUUACAAAAUAUAUAUAUAUAUAUAUUGCUGUUACUUUUAUGAUUCUCUUCCUGACACAUUAGAUACUAGCUUAAGAAGUGUGUUGUACAAACACUUCACUUUUAGAGAUCUGAGACUUUGUGCAGCAACUUACUACUAAAACGAUAAAAAAAGUAUUAAAACAUUUCACUGCACAAUUGUAUUCAAGUAUGUGAUGUUUUUAUUGUUGCUCAAACCAUGUGCAUUAUAUAGAACUGAUACUGCCCACUGUGAAAUGGCAGACAUGUUCUUCAUACAUAAUUUUUUAACAAGUUGGUUAACAAAAUAUUUGGGAAAAUGUCAAACUGUCUAAAAACUGUUUCUUUUAGAGAUAGUAAAUAGGAAAUGCUUAAAAAGCAUGCUAUAUUGAAAAAUAAAACUGCGGGAGCACAUAAACAGAUUUAGCCUAAAUUCAGUAUUAAUGUAUAUCUGCACAUAAAGUUCACCAAACUAAAAGUUGAUAAAAUAAUGUAAUAAUGUCUCUAAAAUGUUAUAUUAAUUGUAUUAAUAAAAUGUAUUUUGGUGGGCCAGCAGUAAGUUACAACACUAAAGUCCAGGGCUCAGUUUCCAUUGUGAAGUUGUGUUGAAGUAAACAAACUUGAUAGGACUGUAUUUAUUCUGCAUAUUUGCACUAAUCAGAUUGUAAUUGUUUCAAGGGUGGAAUGCAAUUUGAGAAAAAUAAUGGAAUACAAAUUAGUGUUCUAUGACAAUCAUGUGCAUGUACCACACAGCUAAUAGACUUUGCAGUAAUUUAAAAAAAAGCUUUUGCUGCUAUUUUUGUCAUCUUUUCUGAACAGGUGUUUAAUUAAUACAUAGUCAUUGAUUUACAUACUAGUGAUAGAACAUAACUGAUUCUGCAAAAACACCGAAGAAAGAUUAUCAAACUUGCCCUAAAUUUUAUCUGUAACCUGUGUAUUGUAAUAAUAUAUAUAUACAUACACACAUUAAUUUUUUCUUUGUGUUAAGAAUUUAUAAGGGUAUUUUAUUUGAGCACUGUUUAAGCAUAUUUUAAGAAGUAUUAAAUUGUGAUUUAUUCAUUUUUCAAUGUAACUAAUCUUU